UACGAAGGGGGCUAGCGUUGCUCGGAAUUACUGGGCGUAAAGCGCACGUAGGCGGCUCUUUAAGUCGGGGGUGAAAUCCUGGAGCUCAACCUCAGAAUUGCCUCCGAUACUGGCAGUCUCGAGUGCGGGAGAGGUGAGUGGAAUUCCCAGUGUAGAGGUGAAAUUCGUAGAUAUUGGGAAGAACACCAGUGGCGAAGGCGGCUCACUGGCCCGUAACUGACGCUGAGGUGCGAAAGCGUGGGGAGCAAACAGG
This 253-nucleotide ribosomal RNA is filed under the name uncultured bacterium. RNAcentral describes it as "partial 16S ribosomal RNA". It matches the Rfam family "Bacterial small subunit ribosomal RNA", at positions 524 to 776 of the family's 1533-position model. The record is from RNAcentral.